RNAcentral lists this ribosomal RNA (380 nucleotides) under uncultured eukaryote. RNAcentral's name for it is "SSU rRNA". It matches the Rfam family "Eukaryotic small subunit ribosomal RNA", at positions 587 to 972 of the family's 1831-position model. The record is from RNAcentral.
AGCUCCAAUAGCGUAUAUUAAAGUUGUUGCGGUUAAAAAGCUCGUAGUUGGGUUUCUGUUGAGGGCAGCCGGUCCGCCCUUGGGGCGUGUAUCUGUUUGACCUCGGCAUCCUCUCAAAAAACGUUUCUGCGCUUGGUUGCGUGGAGCGGAGUUUGAGACUUUUACUUUGAGGAAAUUAGAGUGUUCACGGCAGGCAGUCGCCUUGAAUAUAUUAGCAUGGAAUAAUAAUAUAGGAUCUCGGUUCUAUUUUGUUGGUUUCUAGAGCUGAGAUAAUGAUUAAUAGGGACAAUUGGGGGCAUUCGUAUUAACGCGUCAGAGGUGGAAUUCUUAGAUUGCGUUACGACGAACUACUGCGAAAGCAUUUGCCAAGGAUGUUUUCA